GCCAGCGUGGCAUAGUGGUUUGAGUGUUGGACUACGACUCUAGAGAUCAGGGCUCAAUUCCUAUUUGGUC
Phrynosoma platyrhinos (Desert horned lizard) is the source of this 70-nucleotide non-coding RNA. The record is from the annotation of a GenBank genome assembly. Lineage: Eukaryota; Metazoa; Chordata; Lepidosauria; Squamata; Phrynosomatidae.